AUCCUUUUGUAUUUCAUAAGCGUGAUGAUUGAGUUUUCAUGUGCGUGCGUGAGAUGUGCCUCCCAUAAAUCUUGUUACACAACAUCAGCACACUGUCUGACA
Small nucleolar RNA from Otolemur garnettii (small-eared galago), 102 nucleotides. The record is from Ensembl. Lineage: Eukaryota; Metazoa; Chordata; Mammalia; Primates; Galagidae.